This 244-nucleotide ribosomal RNA is filed under the name uncultured bacterium. RNAcentral describes it as "partial 16S ribosomal RNA". It matches the Rfam family "Bacterial small subunit ribosomal RNA", at positions 333 to 597 of the family's 1533-position model. The record is from RNAcentral.
CGGGCCCUACGGGACGCAGCAGGGAAUAUUGCACAAUGGGGGAAACCCUGAUGCAGCGACGCCGCGUGAAGGACGAAGUAUUUCGGUACGUAAACUUCUAUCAGCAGGGAAGAAAAUGACGGUACCUGACCAAGAAGCCCCGGCUAACUACGUGCCAGCAGCCGCGGUAAUACGUAGGGGGCAAGCGUUAUCCGGAUUUACUGGGUGUAAAGGGAGCGUAGACGGCCGUGCAAGUCUGAUGUGA